AAGGAUUAAUAGCUCAAAGGCAGAGCACCCUAGUUGAAAGAUUAGGCUUGAUAAUGGUUCGAUUCCAUUGUAUCC
This 75-nucleotide transfer RNA is filed under the name Bacteroidota bacterium. RNAcentral describes it as "Bacteroidetes bacterium (activated sludge metagenome) tRNA-OTHER". The record is from RNAcentral. Lineage: Bacteria; Pseudomonadati; Bacteroidota.